Molecule: ribosomal RNA, 550 nt
Filed under: uncultured bacterium
Lineage: Bacteria
Description: bacterial SSU rRNA
Rfam family: Bacterial small subunit ribosomal RNA
Source: RNAcentral
UAGGGAACCUUCCGCAAUGGGCGAAAGCCUGACGGAGCAACGCCGCGUGAGUGAUGAAGGUCUUCGGAUCGUAAAACUCUGUUAUUAGGGAAGAACAUAUGUGUAAGUAACUGUGCACAUCUUGACGGUACCUAAUCAGAAAGCCACGGCUAACUACGUGCCAGCAGCCGCGGUAAUACGUAGGUGACAAGCGUUAUCCGGAAUUAUUGGGCGUAAAGCGCGCGUAGGCGGUUUUUUAAGUCUGAUGUGAAAGCCCACGGCUCAACCGUGGAGGGUCAUUGGAAACUGGAAAACUUGAGUGCAGAAGAGGAAAGUGGAAUUCCAUGUGUAGCGGUGAAAUGCGCAGAGAUAUGGAGGAACACCAGUGGCGAAGGCGACUUUCUGGUCUGUAACUGACGCUGAUGUGCGAAAGCGCGGGGAUCAAACAGGAUUAGAUACCCUGGUAGUCCACGCCGUAAACGAUGAGUGCUAAGUGUUAGGGGGUUUCCGCCCCUUAGUGCUGCAGCUAACGCAUUAAGCACUCCGCCUGGGGAGUACGACCGCAAGGUUG